RNAcentral lists this long non-coding RNA (438 nucleotides) under Rattus norvegicus (Norway rat). RNAcentral's name for it is "long non-coding RNA NONRATT012861". Lineage: Eukaryota; Metazoa; Chordata; Mammalia; Rodentia; Muridae. The record is from RNAcentral.
ACUGCGAGUGCGAAUGCCCCAGAGAGCGACAGCAGGGCCUGCGAUCCAUUGAUCUGAGCGACUGGCGAGCCUGGGCAGGGGCUGGGGCAGGCGAAUCUGGCUUUGGGGGAAGAGGAAGAAAAGUCGGAUUACAAGAUCAACCACCACCACCAACAAUAAAAACCACCAGGAUAUUUUUUUGCAAAUUUCUGACGGCUUUAAAUUCAUGAAGCAAUUGUCCCCUUUUGCAAUCAGCAUUUGGAUCUCAGAAUGAGCAAGGAAAGACCCAAGAGGAAUAUCAUUCAGAAGAAAUACGACGACAGUGAUGGGAUCCCGUGGUCAGAAGAGAGAGUCGUUCGGAAAGUCCUUUAUUUGUCUCUAAAGGAAUUCAAGAAUGCACAGAAAAGGCAGCAUGGGGAAGGCAUUGCUGGGAGCCUGAAAACAGUGAAUGGUGAGUUG